Molecule: unclassified non-coding RNA, 1009 nt
Filed under: Haliotis rufescens (red abalone)
Lineage: Eukaryota; Metazoa; Mollusca; Gastropoda; Lepetellida; Haliotidae
Description: uncharacterized LOC124114572, transcript variant X2
Source: RNAcentral
CGGUCUAGACAGGCUAGACUUAGAUUUAGUAUCUUAAUACGGUAUAUGUAUUUUAUACAUCACCUAAUUACAAUUUUAACAACCAAUUAAUAGAUAGAUCUAUAGAUAUAUAGUAAUCCGGUCUUAAUAGAAGAUCGUUACGGCUUACAUUCAUACAUGCCAUUGUAUGUGUAUUUGUUUGAUAGAACUACACAUAUUUAUAAGAACUGAUCGUUACAAAAUAUAUCGGCAAACAAGGUUAAAAUUUGUCUUCGGAAAAAUCGUCCCGACGUGGUCAGAAAGAGUUACCCCCCUUGGCCGGCAUAGCGAUCGGUUUUCGAUCAAACAUUUAUCGAUACUGAGAUGGAGAACGUCAACGUGCCUGCUGACCCUGCACAUAUGACGCAUGGUAUCCAAGUGGGCUGUGUCCUGCCACAUUCAGGAAAUUUGAGGUGCAACCCUUGUAGGAAAUCAGGUUUCACUGUCCAGUUACACGAAGCCUGGUGUAAAUAGCUUGUUUGGUCCAGUUGCACCCAACAAAGGGCAACUACCAUGCUGUAAUGAAACUUGAUGGUAUCAGUUUACACCAACGCUAAACUACAUAUACAGCUCCCAAUACAGUGUGCUUUGAGAAGGGAGAGCAACUAUGCCCUGUACGUUUCUGGAAAGAAGAAGUGUUGAGAAGAAGAGUUCUGUGUUGAAGUCAGCAUUGACAUCCUGAGUAGUGAAAAGAUCAGCAGGGAGUAGCAUCAGUUCGCUACUGUGUGGAGGGACAGUGUUUCUCCCUAUACUCAUGGACAGUACUGUACAUCUAAACAUAUGAUUCAUAUUAUAUAUUGUUUCAUAAUGUGAGGUGUGUUUUUUUCAUUCAAAAUAUCAAUUAUCAUAUAUGGUGAAUUUAGCAUCUUACAAAUAUACUGUGCAUGGAAUUUCUUCACUUACACUGUUUUCAGCAUGUUGAGGCAAAACUCUUUUCAUGUGUUACAUUUAUGUUUAUUGUUUCCUCAACAAUAAAGAACUAGCAAAAUGA